Molecule: ribosomal RNA, 274 nt
Filed under: uncultured bacterium
Lineage: Bacteria
Description: partial 16S ribosomal RNA
Rfam family: Bacterial small subunit ribosomal RNA
Source: RNAcentral
AUACAGAGGGCCCGAGCGUUAAUCAGAAUUACUGGGCUUAAAGCGUGCGCAGGCGGUCCAGAAAGUAUCUCGUGAAAUCCCUCGGCUCAACCGGGGAACUGCGGGGUAAACUUCUGGACUUGAGAAAGGUAGGGGCUGAUGGAACCAUGAGUGGAGCGGUGAAAUGCGUAGAUAUUCAUGGGAACGCCGAUGGGGAAGCCGAUCAGCUGGGCCUUUUCUGACGCUCAUGUACGAAAGCGUGGGGAGCAAACAGGAUUAGAAACCCUAGUAGUCC